GACGUAGGGCGCGAGCGUUGUCCGGAUUUAUUGGGCGUAAAGAGCUCGUAGGCGGCUUGUCGCGUCGUCCGUGAAAACCUGCGGCUCAACUGCAGGCCGGCGGUCGAUACGGGCAGGCUGGAGUACUGCAGGGGAGACUGGAAUUCCUGGUGUAGCGGUGGAAUGCGCAGAUAUCAGGAGGAACACCGGUGGCGAAGGCGGGUCUCUGGGCAGUAACUGACGCUGAGGAGCGAAAGCGUGGGGAGCGAACAGG
RNAcentral lists this ribosomal RNA (253 nucleotides) under uncultured bacterium. RNAcentral describes it as "partial 16S ribosomal RNA". It matches the Rfam family "Bacterial small subunit ribosomal RNA", at positions 524 to 776 of the family's 1533-position model. The record is from RNAcentral.